This is a long non-coding RNA of Sander lucioperca (pikeperch), 112 nucleotides long. RefSeq lists it as uncharacterized. NCBI's taxonomy places the organism in Eukaryota, Metazoa, Chordata, Actinopteri, Perciformes, Percidae. The record is from RefSeq and is a predicted model, not a curated record. The transcript has 3 exons.
AACUCCGUUAUGAGGAUCCCGGCAGGGCACAACAGGAACAUUCCAAUGGCCUCCUCCAUGCUGGUUUGUUAUUGUAUGUGGCGCUAAAGUCUAAACAGGAAUGUUGUCUUCU